This 219-nucleotide unclassified non-coding RNA is filed under the name Hevea brasiliensis (rubber tree). The record is from RNAcentral. Lineage: Eukaryota; Viridiplantae; Streptophyta; Magnoliopsida; Malpighiales; Euphorbiaceae.
GAUCCAUUGAUCAGUUGUGUUGGGAGUAGAAGAUGGCAACAUUAGUUGCGAAACAAGGGCCAUUGAGCAGUCAGAUUCAAGACACACCGGGAACGAGAAAUCAGUCUAGGGUGUUUACGAAGAGAAAGUUUAUCCUAAACCGCGAUGAAGAAGAGCUUGAAAAGGACAAUGCAGCAGCAUCGGUGCUCAAUGUUAUAGAGUUACCUAACAAGAGACCAA